RNAcentral lists this ribosomal RNA (630 nucleotides) under Piskurozyma cylindrica. RNAcentral's name for it is "eukaryotic LSU rRNA". It matches the Rfam family "Eukaryotic large subunit ribosomal RNA", at positions 47 to 663 of the family's 3401-position model. Lineage: Eukaryota; Fungi; Basidiomycota; Tremellomycetes; Filobasidiales; Piskurozymaceae. The record is from RNAcentral.
UAAGCGGAGGAAAAGAAACUAACAAGGAUUCCCCUAGUAACGGCGAGUGAAGCGGGAAGAGCUCAAAUUUGAAAUCUAACGGACUCAGUCUGUUCGAGUUGUAAUCUAUAGGAACGUUUUCCGUGCCGGCUCAUGUACAAGUCCCUUGGAACAGGGCGUCAUAGAGGGUGAGAAUCCCGUACUUGACAUGAACUACCGGUGCUCUGUGAUACGUCUCCAACGAGUCGAGUUGUUUGGGAAUGCAGCUCAAAAUGGGUGGUAAAUUCCAUCUAAAGCUAAAUAUUGGUGUGAGACCGAUAGCGAACAAGUACCGUGAGGGAAAGAUGAAAAGCACUUUGGAAAGAGAGUUAAACAGUAUGUGAAAUUGUUGAAAGGGAAACGAUUGAAGUCAGUCAUGUCCUUCAGAUUCAGCUGGUUCUGCCGGUGUAUUUCUGUUGGAUGGGGUCAACAUCAGUUUUGGAUGCCGGAUAAAGGCUGGAGGAAGGUAGCACCCCCGGGUGAACUUAUAGCCUCCUGUCGCAUACGGUGACCGGGACUGAGGAACGCAGCUUGCCUUUAUGGCCGGGGUUCGCCCACGUACAAGCUUAGGAUGUUGACAUAAUGGCUUUAAACGACCCGUCUUGAAACACG